GAUGAACGCUGGCGGCGUGCCUAAUACAUGCAAGUCGAGCGAACGGACGAGAAGCUUGCUUCUCUGAUGUUAGCGGCGGACGGGUGAGUAACACGUGGAUAACCUACCUAUAAGACUGGGAUAACUUCGGGAAACCGGAGCUAAUACCGGAUGAUAUUUUGAACCGCAUGGUUCAAAAGUGAAAGACGGUCUUGCUGUCACUUAUAGAUGGAUCCGCGCUGCAUUAGCUAGUUGGUAAGGUAACGGCUUACCAAGGCAACGAUGCAUAGCCGACCUGAGAGGGGGGUGGGCCAGCCUGGAACGGAGACAGGGUCCAGACCCCGGGGGGAGGAGGCGGGGGGGAACCUUCGACAAGGGCGGAAAGCCGACGGGAGCACGCAGGGGGGGGUGAGAAAGGUCUUGGGAUGGAAAAGCUGUUUUAUGGGGAAAAAAAAUUGGGAAAAUAAUCUGGACACAUCUUGACGGUACCUAAUCAAAAAGCCCCGGCUAACUCCGUG
RNAcentral lists this ribosomal RNA (497 nucleotides) under uncultured bacterium. RNAcentral describes it as "partial 16S ribosomal RNA". It matches the Rfam family "Bacterial small subunit ribosomal RNA", at positions 28 to 507 of the family's 1533-position model. The record is from RNAcentral.